This 253-nucleotide ribosomal RNA is filed under the name uncultured bacterium. RNAcentral describes it as "partial 16S ribosomal RNA". It matches the Rfam family "Bacterial small subunit ribosomal RNA", at positions 524 to 776 of the family's 1533-position model. The record is from RNAcentral.
UACGUAGGGCGCAAGCGUUAUCCGGAAUUAUUGGGCGUAAAGAGCUCGUAGGCGGUUUGUCGCGUCUGCCGUGAAAGUCCGGGGCUCAACUCCGGAUCUGCGGUGGGUACGGGCAGACUAGAGUGAUGUAGGGGCGACUGGAAUUCCUGGUGUAGCGGUGAAAUGCGCAGAUAUCAGGAGGAACACCGAUGGCGAAGGCAGGUCUCUGGGCAUUAACUGACGCUGAGGAGCGAAAGCAUGGGGAGCGAACAGG